This 379-nucleotide non-coding RNA is filed under the name Chlamydotis macqueenii (Macqueen's bustard). Its description in RNAcentral is "Chlamydotis undulata macqueenii Eukaryotic large subunit ribosomal RNA". It matches the Rfam family "Eukaryotic large subunit ribosomal RNA", at positions 2644 to 2991 of the family's 3401-position model. Lineage: Eukaryota; Metazoa; Chordata; Aves; Otidiformes; Otididae. The record is from Rfam by way of RNAcentral.
AAAAAAGCUCCAAUGCUUCUACACAUACUUGUGUCAAAUCCUCCCUACUGGAGGCAUGCUGAGGCAAGCCCAGGAAGGAGAGAAACUUGGGCAGCGUAAAGGGCAAAAGUAUACUCAAUCUUGAUUUUCAGUGGGAAUACAGGCUAUGCUAGUUUGGCCUUGGGAUAUUCUGAAUUUUUAAGUUUUAAGCAAGAGACAUUAGAAAAGUUACCACAGAGAAACCCCCCCUGCGGCAGUCAGCUACUAGCAAAGUUACUUCAACUCUUUGAUGUCAACUUCUCCUGUCACCACAAAACAGCAUUCGCAAAGUGUUGGUUGGAUUGCUCAUUAACAAUUAACAUGAGAUAGGUUUAGACUGCCAUGAGAUGAGAUAGUUAUA